GGGUUAUGACGAAUGGUGGUAUCUAGCAUUAUAUGUGCGAGUGGGGUGCCUGUCCCAGCCUGGUUACGACACAUAUGCACUCACCCUUUAACCAAUCUGAUCCC
Molecule: small nucleolar RNA, 104 nt
Filed under: Glycine max (soybean)
Lineage: Eukaryota; Viridiplantae; Streptophyta; Magnoliopsida; Fabales; Fabaceae
Description: snoRNA snoZ279_R105_R108
Rfam family: Small nucleolar RNA Z279/snoR105/snoR108
About the family: This family includes the plant snoRNAs known as Z279, snoR105 and snoR108.
Source: Rfam by way of RNAcentral